GUGACCUGCGGAAGGANCAUUUA
RNAcentral lists this ribosomal RNA (23 nucleotides) under Epicoccum sp. RNAcentral's name for it is "partial 18S ribosomal RNA". Lineage: Eukaryota; Fungi; Ascomycota; Dothideomycetes; Pleosporales; Didymellaceae. The record is from RNAcentral.